RNAcentral lists this ribosomal RNA (809 nucleotides) under uncultured cyanobacterium. RNAcentral's name for it is "bacterial SSU rRNA". It matches the Rfam family "Bacterial small subunit ribosomal RNA", at positions 45 to 916 of the family's 1533-position model. Lineage: Bacteria; Bacillati; Cyanobacteriota. The record is from RNAcentral.
UGCUUAACACAUGCAAGUCGAACGAGGUCUUCGGAACCUAGUGGCGGACGGGUGAGUAACACGUGAGAAUCUGGCUUCAGGACGGGGACAACAAGGGGAAACCCUUGCUAAUACCGGAUAGGCGUGUGAAAGAUAGAGGCUCGCGAGCUGGACUAGGCUAGCUGAGGGUACGGUCCAUCAUGCACGAUUCAGUAGCUGUCUGAGAGGAUGAUCAGGCAACAUGGACUGAGACACGACCAGAAUUCCUACGGGAGGCAGCAGUGGGAAUUUUCGCAAUGGGCGCAAGCCUGACCGAGGCAUACCGCGUGCGGGAGGAAAGGCCCUGGGUCGUAAACCGCUUUUGUUAGGGAAGAAAAUUUGACGGUACCUAACGAAUAAGCCUCGGCUAACUUCCGUGCCAGCAGCCGCGGUAAGACGGAGGACGGCAAGCGUUAUCCGGGAAUUAUAGGGCGUAAAGCGUCCGCAGGUGGCAUCUCAAGUCUGCUGUCAAAGCCCAGGGCUCAACUCUGGAUCGGCAGUGGAAACUGAGACGCUAGAGUACGGUAGGGGCAGAGGGAAUUCCCAGUGUAGCGGUGAAAUGCGUAGAUAUUGGGAAGAACACCAGUAGCGAAAGCGCUCUGCUGGGCCGUAACUGACACUCAUGGACGAAAGCUAGGGGAGCGAAAGGGAUUAGAUACCCCUGUAGUCCUAGCCGUAAACGAUGGACACUAGGUGUUGCGCGUAUCGACCCGUGCAGUGCCGUAGCCAACGCGUUAAGUGUCCCGCCUGGGGAGUACGCUCGCAAGAGUGAAACUCAAAGGAAUUGACGG